Molecule: long non-coding RNA, 376 nt
Filed under: Mytilus galloprovincialis (Mediterranean mussel)
Lineage: Eukaryota; Metazoa; Mollusca; Bivalvia; Mytilida; Mytilidae
Source: RNAcentral
UCUCAUAUUGUAUUUUCUUGUAGUGUACUAUUGUAUUUUCUUGUAGACUCUUAUUAUAUAUUUCUUGUAGUCUCAUAGUGGGAAUAUUAUUUCUGUAGUUUCAGUAGGAGGUUGUGUAAUCUUUUGUUUGUGUAACUGUUGAGGGAUCCUGAUAUAGCAAAUCUCAAUUAAAGUCAACAUGGCAAUAUGAUAGCUAGCCCACAUAAAUGAGCAAAAAAGACCAAAUAACUGCUCCAAAACAAACUGCAAACAAGGCAAAUAUAAGGGGUUUCUGUGUGUAAACCAAAACAUAGUCUCAGCAAAUCAUACUGGCUUAAAGCAGAAAGACAGUUAGAAUAAAUAAUAAUAUUUAUUAAAAAAAUCAUUUAAUUUUGGC